This is a long non-coding RNA of Haliotis rufescens (red abalone), 337 nucleotides long. RefSeq lists it as uncharacterized. The record is from RefSeq and is a predicted model, not a curated record. NCBI's taxonomy places the organism in Eukaryota, Metazoa, Mollusca, Gastropoda, Lepetellida, Haliotidae. The transcript has 4 exons.
ACCCUCUGUGACGUCAGCUACGGACAUAUUGGAUAUAUUAGUAGUAUUCACCACUUCAUCUCAGGUGCUAUUGCUUCCAUUUCGCGUCCACGGAAUUAUUGUCUAUUCAAGAUGGGGCCAUCGUUCGGGCCGUUGGUGAUAACCGUCCUGGUUGGACUGAUACAGACCUUGACUGCAACCGUGAAUGUUGACGAGAAGUAUGAGCCAAUGGUUGCAUUCAUGUGCAACAAGCCGGCCAUGCACCGUGUCCUGAACGGCUGGGAGUACGACACCACUACCGACUGUCUAGAGAAGAAGCCUGCUAUCCUCAAGUACUGCCAACAGUUGUACCCUGACC